UUUAUUUGAACAAGAUGUAGAUAUUAAAUUAAUACUUGGCCAAAUUAAUGAUUGUAAGUGUUAUGUUUUGUAUAUAAAUAGUAUUUUGGCCAAGUGGGAGAAUGUUGGAAUAUUUUAUUCCUUAUGUGGCCUCUAAUAUUUAUGUAAUUAUUGGGCUUACAUAUUGUAUUAAUUUAAUCACUUUAUUUAUGGGUUUGGUAAUUAAUUAUGUGGCCUAUAAAUAAUAUUCCUAAUAGUAUUUGGCAUAAUGGGCCCUAGGGUUUCAUAAUCUUGAUGGACGAUUUUGACCCUUAACUAUUAUAUAAAUAAAACAGUUAGGGUUUGGUCCCAGUUGUCGUGUCAAGAAUUUUAUAUACACACCUAUACAUCCAUCUUAAGAUUAAGAGAGACAAUUGAAGACCUUCACCCUUGAGCGCAGCGGAGGCGUGAUACAUACAAGAUGACUUCUCUCAAUUCAUGUAAGUAAUUAAUAUUAUGAUUAAUUGAUUCUAUUUAUUCUAUGCAAUAACACGUUACUGUAUAAUUUAUUCAACACUGGUGGCAUGCCAUUUUUCUUGUUGACUUAAUUCAUAUAUAGUGUACACCAUAAAGUAAGAAGUUGUUAAUUAGAAACUGAAAUUUUGUCGUGAGAAUCACUACUACAAUAUUUCCUUAAGCAGUUACACUUAAUUUCGGUCUUGCAUGAUUAUCAUCACUUAAUUAAUUGUACGUCCGUCUCAUGAUCAUUACUACAUCAAAUCACGUAAUGUAAGUUACAAUUAACCCAGUAACAUAAUUUAGAUAGCUGAAGUCACAUGCAGGAACUUAUAGUAUUAAUUAGUGAUCAAAAAGUAAAAAACAAAUUAAGAAAAAUUACAAGAAGAUGGCAUGUGCAGAUCACAGCCGUCCAUCCCCGAGAAGCAGUUGAUGAGGAGGAGGAGUACCGAUCAUGAGACGACCUGUGUGGAGGCUUCCUGUAGUAAUAUGGAAACCAAGGCACUAUAGGGUCGUCCGGAGGGGGAGGUGCAGCAACACCAUUAACAUAAUAAGGUGGUGGAGGGUAAUUUGGUAAGAAACCUGACGGUGGAGGGACGUUAAAAUAUAAAGCCGGAGGUGGAUUUUGGGAUGGUGGUGAUGGAAUAUUGGCUGGUGGAAGGUUUCCGGGGUCGGUCGGUGGUGGAUAACAAGGGUAUGGGCACUCAGUUUGCGAUGUUGUUGUUGUUGCCGGAGAAUUGAGAACUAUAGAGAAAACAAGUGGAAAUGAAAAUAAAGAGAGGAAGAGAGAGUAGUAGUAGUAGUUAAUAAGAAAACAAAAACUGUGUUCGUUUGGUGCUUUAAUUUGUGGCUAGCUACCUCUAUUACUCCCUAAUUAGUAAGUACUCCUACUACUUCAUAAUUAAG
Molecule: long non-coding RNA, 1380 nt
Filed under: Panax ginseng (ginseng)
Lineage: Eukaryota; Viridiplantae; Streptophyta; Magnoliopsida; Apiales; Araliaceae
Description: long non-coding RNA (PGIN_LNC009082)
Source: RNAcentral